GACAGCAGUAGCCACGGUAAUACGGAAGGUCCAGGCGUUAUCCGGAUUUAUUGGGUUUAAAGGGAGCGUAGGCUGGAGAUUAAGUGUGUUGUGAAAUGUAGACGCUCAACGUCUGACUUGCAGCGCAUACUGGUUUCCUUGAGUACGCCCAACGUUGGCGGAAUUCGUCGUGUAGCGGUGAAAUGCUUAGAUAUGACGAAGAACUCCGAUUGCGAAGGCAGCUGACGGGAGCGCAACUGACGCUUAAGCUCGAAGGUGCGGGUAUCAAACAGGAUUAGAGACCCCUGUAGUCCCUGUCUCUUAUAC
Molecule: ribosomal RNA, 306 nt
Filed under: uncultured bacterium
Lineage: Bacteria
Description: partial 16S ribosomal RNA
Rfam family: Bacterial small subunit ribosomal RNA
Source: RNAcentral